Molecule: ribosomal RNA, 103 nt
Filed under: uncultured bacterium
Lineage: Bacteria
Description: partial 16S ribosomal RNA
Source: RNAcentral
UGACGCCGCGUGUGGGAUGACGCCUUUCGGGGUGUUAAACCACUUUUCGUUGGGGACGAGAACGGACGGUACCCGAGGAAUAGGCCUCCGGCUAACUACGUGC